CUCAAAAAAAAAAAAAAAAAAAAAAAAAAAGAAUUGCUUCUGUACUUAAAUGCCCUUCACUUACAGAUUGUCUUUAAUCACAAAAGGGUCUUCAAUUGAAAAAAAAUGAUGUGUUUUAUUUGGGUAAAGUAAAAGAGGCCUAGAAGAUGGGCAGAUUCUAAACAGUGUUCAUCAUCUGAAUGAAAGAAGAUUCUGGAUAAACUCAGCAUGCAGUUACAGAUACUGAAGAGGAAGGGCGCUGACUGCGAACCAUGGUGCUUCUUGGCAUUUGUAACACAGGACUACUGACAUCAUUCUUUCUGACAUUGUUAUUAUUCUGAAUUGAAGGGAGCUCCUGUUCUCACUUCUUGUAAACCAGUCUUUGUUUUUGAACUUUUUAUGCAAUGAUGAGAAGAGAUCUCAACUUAGAAAUCUUGUUGAGCUGCGUGAAAUAGGAAGUGGCAUAUAAACUUACAAGAUGAUUAUAAUGAAAUGGAAUCAAGUUAAGAUGAGGUCAUACUCAUUGGAUUGGGCCCGCCUCCUUCAAUGACUGAUGUCCUUAUAAGAAGAGGGAAAUUUGGACACAGGGAGACACAGGAAAUGGCCAUGUGAGGGAGGCAGAGAUCGAAGUGAUGCUACCACAAGCCAAGGGACACCAAGGAUUGCAAGAAACCACCAGAGCUAGGAAGAGGCAAGGAAUGAUUCUCCCCUGGAGACUUCAGAGAGAGCACAGCCCCACUGACACCUUGAUUUCAGAUUUCUAGUCUCCAGAAAUAUGAGAGAAUAAAUUUCUGUUGUGUUAAGCCA
Macaca mulatta (Rhesus monkey) is the source of this 786-nucleotide non-coding RNA. The record is from RefSeq and is a predicted model, not a curated record. Lineage: Eukaryota; Metazoa; Chordata; Mammalia; Primates; Cercopithecidae.